UCUCCGUUUCCGGUUCUUACAACUAGCAUGUCAAGCCUGGGUAAGGUUCUUCGCGUUGUAUCGAAUUAAACCACAUGCUCCACCGCUUGUGCAGGCCCCCGUCAAUUCCUUUGAGUUUUAAUCUUGCGACCGUACUCCCCAGGCGGGAUGCUUAAUGCGUUAGCUGCGCCACUGAAGGGUAAACCCCCCAACGGCUAGCAUCCAUCGUUUACGGCGUGGACUAC
RNAcentral lists this unclassified non-coding RNA (224 nucleotides) under uncultured Alphaproteobacteria bacterium. Its description in RNAcentral is "contains 16S-23S intergenic spacer region". The record is from RNAcentral. Lineage: Bacteria; Pseudomonadati; Pseudomonadota; Alphaproteobacteria.